This 279-nucleotide long non-coding RNA is filed under the name Mytilus galloprovincialis (Mediterranean mussel). Lineage: Eukaryota; Metazoa; Mollusca; Bivalvia; Mytilida; Mytilidae. The record is from RNAcentral.
GGGGAGAAUCGCUUGCAGAAUUAUUUUUAACGCUUGGAGAUGAUGGUACAAAGUGACGGAAAUGUUUUUGUUUCAUUUGAUGUGUUUGGGUUAAACUUUUGCUGUUUUGUAAUAUCCUUUCCGUUUGGAAUUUUGCUUGGAGUUCGUUUUAUUUUGUUUUUUUGUUUUAUUUUUUAUGAACAGCAAACAUUCAGAACAUGAUUGAAUAUAUAUUUUGAGUGUGCACGCUUUUAAGUAAUAAAUAUGAAAUAUAAUUUAAAUGUUUGAUAAAACAUAAAA